Molecule: ribosomal RNA, 407 nt
Filed under: uncultured bacterium
Lineage: Bacteria
Description: partial 16S ribosomal RNA
Rfam family: Bacterial small subunit ribosomal RNA
Source: RNAcentral
AUUGAACGCUGGCGGCAGGCCUAACACAUGCAAGUCGAGCGGAGCGGCGGACGGGUGAGUAAUGCCUAGGAAUCUGCCUGGUAGUGGGGGAUAACGUCCGGAAACGGGCGCUAAUACCGCAUACUAUCAGAUGAGCCUAGGUCGGAUUAUCAAGGUGGUGGGGUAAAGGCCUAUCAAGGCGACGACCCGUAACUGGUCUGAGAGGAUGAUCAGUCACACUGGAACUGAGACACGGUCCAGACUCCUACGGGAGGCAGCAGUGGGGAAUAUUGGACAAUGGGCGAAAGCCUGAUCCAGCCAUGCCGCGUGUGUGAAGAAGGUCUUCGGAUUGUAAAGCACUUUCAGCGAGGAGGCGUUACUCGCAGAAGAAGCACCAGCUAACUCCGUGCCAGCAGCCGCGGUAAUUG